UAAUACGAAGGAUUCGAGCGUUAUCCGGAUUUAUUGGGUUUAAAGGGUGCGUAGGCGGACCGAUAAGUCAGUGGUGAAAGCCUGUUGCUUAACAACAGAACUGCCAUUGAUACUGCCGGUCUUGAGUACAGUUGAGGUAGGCGGAAUGUGUCAUGUAGUGGUGAAAUACUUAGAUAUGACACAGAACACCGAUUGCGAAGGCAGCUUGCUAAACUGUAACUGACGCUGAGGCACGAAAGCAUGGGGAGCAAACAGGAUUAGAUACCCUGGUAGUCCAUGCCCUAAACGAUGAUUACUCGAUGUGUGCGAUAUACAGUACGCGUCUAAGCGAAAGCAUUAAGUAAUCCACCUGGGAAGUACGACCGCAAGGUUGAAACUCAAAGGAAUUGACGG
RNAcentral lists this ribosomal RNA (393 nucleotides) under uncultured bacterium. Its description in RNAcentral is "bacterial SSU rRNA". It matches the Rfam family "Bacterial small subunit ribosomal RNA", at positions 521 to 916 of the family's 1533-position model. The record is from RNAcentral.